Molecule: ribosomal RNA, 179 nt
Filed under: uncultured bacterium
Lineage: Bacteria
Description: partial 16S ribosomal RNA
Rfam family: Bacterial small subunit ribosomal RNA
Source: RNAcentral
CCCCUACGGGAGGCAGCAGUGGGGAAUAUUGGACAAUGGACCGAGAGUCUGAUCCAGCAAUUCUGUGUGCACGAUGAAGUUUUUCGGAAUGUAAAGUGCUUUCAGUUGGGAAGAAAUAAAUGACGGUACCAACAGAAGAAGUGACGGCUAAAUACGUGCCAGCAGCCGCGGUAAUGGGG